This 204-nucleotide ribosomal RNA is filed under the name uncultured bacterium. RNAcentral describes it as "partial 16S ribosomal RNA". It matches the Rfam family "Bacterial small subunit ribosomal RNA", at positions 1299 to 1500 of the family's 1533-position model. The record is from RNAcentral.
CGCAGUCUGCAACUCGACUGCGUGAAGGUGGAGUCGCUAGUAAUCGCGGAUCAGCAACGCCGCGGUGAAUGCGUUCCCGGGCCUUGUACACACCGCCCGUCAAGUCAUGAAAGUGGGCAGCACCCGAAGACGGUGGCCUAACCCUUGUGGGGGGAGCCGUCUAAGGUGAGGCUCGUGAUUGGGACUAAGUCGUAACAAGGUACC